RNAcentral lists this ribosomal RNA (497 nucleotides) under uncultured bacterium. Its description in RNAcentral is "partial 16S ribosomal RNA". It matches the Rfam family "Bacterial small subunit ribosomal RNA", at positions 28 to 507 of the family's 1533-position model. The record is from RNAcentral.
GAUGAACGCUGGCGGCGUGCCUAAUACAUGCAAGUCGAGCGAACGGACGAGAAGCUUGCUUCUCUGAUGUUAGCGGCGGACGGGUGAGUAACACGUGGAUAACCUACCUAUAAGACUGGGAUAACUUCGGGAAACCGGAGCUAAUACCGGAUAAUAUUUUGAACCGCAUGGUUCAAAAGUGAAAGAUGGCCUUGCUGUCACUUAUAGAUGGAUCCGCGCUGCAUUAGCUAGUUGGUAAGGUAACGGCUUACCAAGGCAACGAUGCAUAGCCGACCUGAGAGGGUGAUCGGCCACACUGGAACUGAGACACGGUCCAGACUCCUACGGGAGGCAGCAGUAGGGAAUCUUCCGCAAUGGGCGAAAGCCUGACGGAGCAACGCCGCGUGAGUGAUGAAGGUCUUCGGAUCGUAAAACUCUGUUAUUAGGGAAGAACAUAUGUGUAAGUAACUGUGCACAUCUUGACGGUACCCAAUCAGAAAGCCACGGCUAACUACGUG